UACGUAGGGGGCGAGCGUUGUCCGGAAUUACUGGGCGUAAAGAGCUCGUAGGUGGUUUGUCGCGUCGUCUGUGAAAGUUCCGGGGCUUAACUUCGGGAGUGCAGGCGAUACGGGCAAUACUUGAGUGCUGUAGGGGAGACUGGAAUUCCUGGUGUAGCGGUGAAAUGCGCAGAUAUCAGGAGGAACACCAAUGGCGAAGGCAGGUCUCUGGGCAGUUACUGACGCUGAGGAGCGAAAGCAUGGGUAGCGAACAGGAUUAGAUA
RNAcentral lists this ribosomal RNA (263 nucleotides) under uncultured prokaryote. RNAcentral's name for it is "partial 16S ribosomal RNA". It matches the Rfam family "Bacterial small subunit ribosomal RNA", at positions 524 to 784 of the family's 1533-position model. The record is from RNAcentral.